This is a long non-coding RNA of Cavia porcellus (domestic guinea pig), 456 nucleotides long. RefSeq lists it as uncharacterized. The transcript is spliced from 3 exons. The record is from RefSeq and is a predicted model, not a curated record. NCBI's taxonomy places the organism in Eukaryota, Metazoa, Chordata, Mammalia, Rodentia, Caviidae.
GCGCCAGCUGCUCUGGCUGCCAGGUAUUUGACAAAUUGUUUAAUACCAGGAAUUCAUAGGACUGCAUUUUAAUAGAAUAUUUUGCAGUACCAAAGUCCUGCUGAGGAUCAUUUCCAGAGGCAGCUGUGGUUCGCAUCACCUUUCUACGGUUUUCUAUGAUGGUUUUUUCCUCAAACCCCUACGUUGCUGUUGACACCAGGUCUUGAACACAAACACUGCAGAACCAGAGAAGAAAACAAGAUUCAUGGGAUUCGGUGCACAGAAAUUUAAGAGCCCAGCAACCCCUCACUAAAUUAUCCAUUCAUUAUUCCAGGUCCAGAGCAACGAAGCCAAGCUGGAACCUCUGAAACCGUGAACCAAACCAGGAUUUCUUCAUUUCAUAUUGAAUUUCUUAAAUACUUUGUCUUAAAAAACUAAUGGACACACUCAACCACUCUAUUAAAAAUCCAUUUCCAA